GCCGUAGGGGGCCAGCGUUGUUCGGAAUUACUGGGCGUAAAGGGUUCGUAGGCGGUGCGGCAAGUCGGGGGUGAAAUCUCUGGGCUUAACCCAGAGGCUGCUUCCGAAACUGCUGUGCUUGAGUGUGGGAGAGGCGCGUGGAAUUGCAGGUGUAGCGGUGAAAUGCGUAGAUAUCUGCAGGAACACCCGUGGCGAAAGCGGCGCGCUGGACCACUACUGACGCUGAGGAACGAAAGCUAGGGGAGCAAACAGG
This 253-nucleotide ribosomal RNA is filed under the name uncultured bacterium. RNAcentral describes it as "partial 16S ribosomal RNA". It matches the Rfam family "Bacterial small subunit ribosomal RNA", at positions 524 to 776 of the family's 1533-position model. The record is from RNAcentral.